UAGAGGUUUACGUAGUCCUCGGCGUCAAGGACGAACGCGUGCGGGCGUGCCUAACACAUAGCAAGUCGAACGAAGACUUGAAUUCUAGAUUUCUUCGGAAUGAAGAAUGAUAUGACUGAGUGGCGGACGGGUGAGUAACGCGUGAGCAACCUGCCCUUCGAGGGGGAUAGUGUCUGGAAACGGACAGUAAUACCGCAUAACGUAUUUUUACCGUCAUGAUAGAAAUACCAAAACUGAGGUGCCGAAGGAUGGGCUCGCGUUGGAUUAGAUAGUUGGUGGGGUAACGGCCUACCCAAGUCAACGAUCCAUAGCCGGACUGAGAGGUUGAACGGCCACAUUGGGACUGAGACACGGCCCAGACUCCUACGGGAGGCAGCAGUGGGGAAUAUUGCACAAUGGGGGAAACCCUGAUGCAGCAACGCCGCGUGAAGGAAGACGGUUUUCGGAUUGUAAACUUCUGUUCUUAGUGAAGAAAAAUGACGGUAGCUAAGGAGCAAGCCACGGCUAACUGCGUG
This 515-nucleotide ribosomal RNA is filed under the name uncultured Eubacteriales bacterium. Its description in RNAcentral is "bacterial SSU rRNA". It matches the Rfam family "Bacterial small subunit ribosomal RNA", at positions 1 to 507 of the family's 1533-position model. Lineage: Bacteria; Bacillati; Bacillota; Clostridia; Eubacteriales. The record is from RNAcentral.